GCCUUGGUGCAAAUCACCUCGAAGGCUCCCAAUCUUGUCAUACAGUAGUGUAAGCUAAGCGGAGUAGGGCCUGGUUAUAACUUGGAUGGGUGACCACGCAGGCUUGCCAGGUGUUGUAGGCU
RNAcentral lists this ribosomal RNA (122 nucleotides) under Petromyzon marinus (sea lamprey). Lineage: Eukaryota; Metazoa; Chordata; Hyperoartia; Petromyzontiformes; Petromyzontidae. The record is from RNAcentral.